This 253-nucleotide ribosomal RNA is filed under the name uncultured bacterium. Its description in RNAcentral is "partial 16S ribosomal RNA". It matches the Rfam family "Bacterial small subunit ribosomal RNA", at positions 524 to 776 of the family's 1533-position model. The record is from RNAcentral.
GACGGAGGAUGCAAGUGUUAUCCGGAAUCACUGGGCGUAAAGCGUCUGUAGGUGGUCAAAUAAGUCAACUGUUAAAUCUUAAGGCUCAACCUCAAAACCGCAGUCGAAACUAUUAGACUAGAGUAUAGUAGGGGUAAAGGGAAUUUCCAGUGGAGCGGUGAAAUGCGUAGAGAUUGGAAAGAACACCGAUGGCGAAGGCACUUUACUGGGCUAUUACUAACACUCAGAGACGAAAGCUAGGGUAGCAAAUGGG